UCCCUGGUGGUCCAGUGGCUAGCACUCUGUACUCCCAAUGCUGGGGUCCCGGGUUUGAUUCCUGGUCAGGGAA
Bos taurus (domestic cattle) is the source of this 73-nucleotide non-coding RNA. The record is from Rfam. NCBI's taxonomy places the organism in Eukaryota, Metazoa, Chordata, Mammalia, Artiodactyla, Bovidae.